RNAcentral lists this ribosomal RNA (253 nucleotides) under uncultured bacterium. Its description in RNAcentral is "partial 16S ribosomal RNA". It matches the Rfam family "Bacterial small subunit ribosomal RNA", at positions 524 to 776 of the family's 1533-position model. The record is from RNAcentral.
GACAGAGGGUGCAAACGUUGUUCGGAAUUACUGGGCGUAAAGCGUGCGCAGGCGGUUUUGUAAGCCAGAUGUGAAAUCCCCGGGCUUAACCUGGGAAUGGCAUUUGGGACUGCAAGGCUUGAGUGCGGCAGAGGAGACUGGAAUUCCUGGUGUAGCAGUGAAAUGCGUAGAUAUCAGGAGGAACACCGAUGGCGAAGGCAGGUCUCUGGGCUGACACUGACGCUCAUGCACGAAAGCGUGGGGAGCAAACAGG